This 596-nucleotide ribosomal RNA is filed under the name uncultured bacterium. RNAcentral's name for it is "bacterial SSU rRNA". It matches the Rfam family "Bacterial small subunit ribosomal RNA", at positions 338 to 947 of the family's 1533-position model. The record is from RNAcentral.
CCUACGGGAGGCAGCAGUGGGGAAUCUUGCGCAAUGGGCGAAAGCCUGACGCAGCCACGCCGCGUGCGGGAUGAAGGCCCUAGGGUUGUAAACCGCUUUUAACAGGAACGAAAAUGACGGUACCUGUAGAAUAAGGUGCGGCCAACUACGUGCCAGCAGCCGCGGUGACACGUAGGCACCAAGCGUUGUCCGGAUUUAUUGGGCGUAAAGAGCUCGUAGGCGGUUCAGUAAGUCGGGUGUGAAAACUCUGGGCUUAACCCAGAGACGCCACUCGAUACUAUUGUGACUAGAGUUCGGUAGGGGAGCGGGGAAUUCCUAGUGUAGCGGUGAAAUGCGCAGAUAUUAGGAGGAACACCGGUGGCGAAGGCGCCGCUCUGGGCCGAUACUGACGCUGAGGAGCGAAAGCGUGGGUAGCAAACAGGAUUAGAUACCCUGGUAGUCCACGCCGUAAACGGUGGGCACUAGGUGUGGGUUCCAACCAACGGAAUCCGCGCCGUCGCUAACGCAUUAAGUGCCCCGCCUGGGGAGUACGGCCGCAAGGUUAAAACCUCAAAGAUAGUAGCGUGAGACUGCCGACGACGACACACGGGAGGAGG